RNAcentral lists this ribosomal RNA (434 nucleotides) under uncultured Oscillospiraceae bacterium. RNAcentral describes it as "partial 16S ribosomal RNA". It matches the Rfam family "Bacterial small subunit ribosomal RNA", at positions 341 to 792 of the family's 1533-position model. Lineage: Bacteria; Bacillati; Bacillota; Clostridia; Eubacteriales; Oscillospiraceae. The record is from RNAcentral.
ACGGGAGGCAGCAGUGGGGGAUAUUGCACAAUGGGGGAAACCCUGAUGCAGCGACGCCGCGUGGGGGAAGAAGGAUUUCGGAAUGUAAAGCUCUAUCAGCAGGAAAGAUAAUGACGGUACCUGACUAAGAAGAACCGGCUAAAUACGUGCCAGCAGCCGCGGUAAUACGUAUGGGGCAAGCGUUAUCCGGAUUUACUGGGUGUAAAGGGCGUGUAGGCGGGACUGCAAGUCAGAUGUGAAAGCACGAGGCUCAACUUCGUGUCUGCAUUUGAAACUGUAGUUCUUGAGUGUUGGAGAGGCUAACGGAACUCCUAGUGUAGCGGUGAAAUGCGUAGAUAUUAGGAAGAACACCAGUGGCGAAGGCGGUUAGCUGGACAAUAACUGACGCUGAGGCGCGAAAGCGUGGGUAGCAAACAGGAUUAGAUACCCUGGUA